UAGGACCAAUUUCAUUCAUGACUUUGAAAAAAAUAAAAGAAUCAAAAGAAAAAACAGAAACGAAAACCAAUCCUUUCUCAUUUACCAUAGUUGCUUGCGUGGCGUUACCAAAAACUCCUAUCAAGGGCCAAACGAAUUUCUGUCUGCAUAUUUCAAGUUGAGGCUUCCGUGGUGCCAGUGUGCUGCUGCUACUUUUGAUUCUGAACGUUGAACUAUCGACGGCUAGCUAUGCAUAUUAGCAUUAGCUACUCCUCACUCGGAGAACGUACAUCUAAAGCCUUUCUUAGUUAGAGACAAUUGAACGAAGGUCGGCUGUUUGUUGGGAGAUAACAAAUACGCAGGAAAACAAUCCCAGACAAAUGCUCUCGAAGCCGCUAGCUGUUUCUUCAGCAUCAUGCAUGGGAUCCAUCCCAAAAGGGUGUUUGCUUGGGCUUAAAGGAGUUCAAUGGUAUUAAGACAAAUAGCAUCUCCUCUUGUAAAAUAACGAGCAAAAGCUAAUGUUUGAGGCAUGCAAAAAAUGGGGUGAGUUUUCACAAGUGAAGAAGAAGAUGAAAGAGAGGAAUCCAAAGAAAGUUCCUGGUUUUAGUAGGAUAGAAGUGAAGGGCAAGACUCAAGAGUAAUGUAUUCUUUGUUGGGGACAAAUAUCAUCCUCAGGAUGAAUAAAUUUAUGGACUGCUUCGAGAGAAGCUUCUUCCCAUAAUGUUGGAGACGGGUUAUACACGAGAAAUAUGUUCUGGUUUAUUAAAAAAGAAAUUAAAUUGACUGUUUU
Molecule: long non-coding RNA, 769 nt
Organism: Alnus glutinosa
Lineage: Eukaryota; Viridiplantae; Streptophyta; Magnoliopsida; Fagales; Betulaceae
Exons: 3
Source: RefSeq, a predicted model, not a curated record